UAAAUUUCGCGCAAAUAGUUGGUUUUCCUUGUAAAAUAUAAGAUGGUGUACGAUUCCUAUAUGUCUUGCCUAAUGCAAUCAUCGUUAUAUACGGUGAUCGCAUGCAAUUUUUCAUCGGGCUCGUGCUAGGCUCGGAUCGGACUUCCAUCCACCCUCGGAUGGAAAGAUUUGUAUGCAGGCGAGAAAGUUUUACGAAAAGUUUUUUUACG
This is a long non-coding RNA of Apis dorsata (giant honeybee), 209 nucleotides long. RefSeq lists it as uncharacterized. The transcript is spliced from 3 exons. The record is from RefSeq and is a predicted model, not a curated record. Lineage: Eukaryota; Metazoa; Arthropoda; Insecta; Hymenoptera; Apidae.